CGCAUCUGUGCAUGCAGCAUAUCAAUAAGCGGAGGAAAAGAGGGCUAUUACCUACGCUUAGGAUGUUGACACACGCGCGUGCUCGGCUCUAUACAUGACUCUGUGCAUAUCAAUAAGCGGAGGAAAAGGCAUACCUACGCUUAGGAUGUUGACACACGCGCGUGCUCGACUCUAUACAUGACUCUGCGCAUAUCAAUAAGCGGAGGAAAAGAAACUAACAAGGAUUCUCUUAGUAACGGCGAGUGAAGCGGGAAGAGCUCAAAUUUGAAAUCUUCAAGGUUUUACCUUGACGAAUUGUAGUUUAAAGAAGUGUUUUCUGUUGAAGUUUUGGUAAAAGUUCUUUGGAAUAGGACAUCAUAGAGGGUGAGAAUCCCGUAUUUGACCAUUAUUUUCAGCUGUGUGAUACACUUUCAAAGAGUCGGAUUGUUUGGGAAUGCAGUCCAAAAUGGGUGGUAAAUUUCAUCUAAAGCUAAAUAUUGGCGAGAGACCGAUAGCGAAUAAGUACCGUGAGGGAAAGAUGAAAAGAACUUUGAAAAGAGAGUUAAACAGUACGUGAAAUUGUCAAAAGGGAAGCGUUUGACACCAGUGUUGUUUUCUCGAAAAUCAAUUAAAAAGAGUUUGAUUUUGUUGUGUAUUGACCUUAACAGCUUGCAUUUCAAUUUUCUUGCUUUUUUUAAUGCACUUUUCGUUUAACAAGUCAACAUCAGUUUCUUUUGUUGUAAAAAGGUCAUUGGAAGGUGGCUUUCUUUUCGGAGAAAGUGUUUAUAGCCUUUGACUCCUGCAAUCGGAGAGACUGAGGUCUGCAGCGUAGAUCCUUCGGGGUUAGAUACAUUUGUGCUAAGUUAUAGCUUUUUAUAGACAACUUGUUGACUAUGAUUAGUCUUGUAGCUUACUCGCUUAUGCUAUUUUACCUACGCUUAGGAUGUUGACACACGCGCGUGCUCG
This 945-nucleotide ribosomal RNA is filed under the name uncultured Neocallimastigales. RNAcentral's name for it is "partial large subunit ribosomal RNA". The stretch from base 150 to 945 matches the Rfam family "Eukaryotic large subunit ribosomal RNA", at positions 1 to 643 of the family's 3401-position model. The record is from RNAcentral. Lineage: Eukaryota; Fungi; Neocallimastigomycota; Neocallimastigomycetes; Neocallimastigales.